UCCCCAGUGGUUCAGUGGUAAAGAAUCUGCCUGCAAUGCAGAAGACACAGGUUCCAUCUCUGGUUUGGGAAG
This is a non-coding RNA of Bos taurus (domestic cattle), 72 nucleotides long. Lineage: Eukaryota; Metazoa; Chordata; Mammalia; Artiodactyla; Bovidae. The record is from Rfam.